RNAcentral lists this unclassified non-coding RNA (218 nucleotides) under soil metagenome. Its description in RNAcentral is "partial contains 5.8S ribosomal RNA, internal transcribed spacer 2, and large subunit ribosomal RNA". The record is from RNAcentral.
AACUGAUACUACCUGCGGGAACCUGCGGAAGGAUCAUUACAGGACUCGCAAGACUCCUACAACCCUGUGAACCUACUAUACGAACGUUGCUUCGGCGGGUGCGCCCCGGGGAUUCGUUCCCGCGGCGCGUCAGCCCGCCGGCAGCCUACAAAUUCUGUUUCUUUGCGUUGGCAUCUCGAGAAAAACAAAUAAGUUAAAACUUUUAACAAUGGAUCUCU